AGCGAACGCUGGCGGCAGGCCUAACACAUGCAAGUCGAACGGAUCCUUCGGGAUUAGUGGCGGACGGGUGAGUAACACGUGGGAACGUGCCCUUUGGUUCGGAACAACUCAGGGAAACUUGAGCUAAUACCGGAUGUGCCCUUCGGGGGAAAGAUUUAUCGCCAUUGGAGCGGCCCGCGUCUGAUUAGCUAGUUGGUGAGGUAACGGCCCACCAAGGCGACGAUCAGUAGCUGGUCUGAGAGGAUGAUCAGCCACACUGGGACUGAGACACGGCCCAGACUCCUACGGGAGGCAGCAGUGGGGAAUCUUGCGCAAUGGGCGAAAGCCUGACGCAGCCAUGCCGCGUGAAUGAUGAAGGUCUUAGGAUUGUAAAAUUCUUUCAGCGGGGACGAUAAUGACGGUACCCGCAGAAGAAGCUCCGGCUAAGUUCGUG
This 433-nucleotide ribosomal RNA is filed under the name uncultured bacterium. Its description in RNAcentral is "partial 16S ribosomal RNA". It matches the Rfam family "Bacterial small subunit ribosomal RNA", at positions 29 to 507 of the family's 1533-position model. The record is from RNAcentral.